Molecule: ribosomal RNA, 502 nt
Filed under: Scutiger boulengeri (Xizang alpine toad)
Lineage: Eukaryota; Metazoa; Chordata; Amphibia; Anura; Megophryidae
Description: partial large subunit ribosomal RNA
Rfam family: Bacterial large subunit ribosomal RNA
Source: RNAcentral
AGUGACUUUAUGUUUAACGGCCGCGGUACUCUGACCGUGCAAAGGUAGCGUAAUCACUUGUCUUUUAAAUAAGGACUAGUAUGAAUGGCAUCACGAGGACUUAGCUGUCUCCCUCAUCUAAUCAGUGAAACUGAUCUCCCUGUGAAAAAGCAGGGAUUUACACAUAAGACGAGAAGACCCUAUGGAGCUUUAAACCAAAAACUACCUGUUUAAUUUACUAUACUAAAGAUAGUACUAAAACAACUGAUCUAGUUUAGGUUUUCAGUUGGGGUGACUGUGGAGAAAAAUAAAUCCUCCAUGCAGAAUUAAGCUUUGAACAACCGCUCUACGCAUUAGCAAGUCUAACUGCACUUGAUCCAAUCUUUUUGAUCAACGGACCAAGUUACCCUAGGGAUAACAGCGCAAUCCAUUUUAAGAGUCCAUAUCGACAAAUGGGUUUACGACCUCGAUGUUGGAUUAGGACACCCGAGUGGUGCAGCCGCUACUCAAGGUUCGUUUGUUC